UUCCGGUUGAUCCUGCCGGACCCCACUGCUAUCGGGAUAGGACUAAGACAUGCUAGUCAUACCAGCCAAUGCGGCACACAGCUCAGUAGCACGUGGCUAACCUGCCCUUGGGAUAGGGACAACCCCGGGAAACUGGGGCUAAUCCCCAAUAGGCGAAGGCUCCUGGAAUGGACCGUUCUUACAAUGCUUAUUCGCCCAAGGAUGGGGCCGCGACCGAUCAGGUUGUUGGUGAGGCAACGGCUCACCAAGCCUCUAACCGGUGCGGGCCGUGGGAGCGGGAGCCCGGAGAUGGGCACUGAGACAAGGGCCCAGGCCCUACGGGGCGCAGCAGUCGCGCAAACUUUGCAAUACACGAAAGUGUGACAGGGCUAUCCCGAGUGCCGUCCGCUGAGGAUGGCUUUUACCCAGUCUAGAACGCUGGGGGAAUAAGGAGAGGGCAAGUCUGGUGUCAGCCGCCGCGGUAAUACCAGCUCUCCGAGUGGUGUGGAUGUUUAUUGGGCCUAAAGCAUCCGUAGCUGGCCAAGCUAGUCCCUUGUUAAACCCACCGAAUUAAUCGUUGGCGUGCGGGGGAUACUGCUCGGCUAGGGGACGAGAGAGGCAGACGGUAUUCUCGGGGUAGGGGUGAAAUCCUAUAAUCCCGAGAAGACCACCAGUGGCGAAGGCUGUCUGCUAGAACGCGCCCGACGGUGAGGGAUGAAAGCUGGGGGAGCGAACCGGAUUAGAUACCCGGGUAGUCCCAGCUGUAAACGAUGCAGGCUAGGUGUUUGGACGGCCACGUGCCGUUCUAGUGCCGCAGGGAAGCUGUUAAGCCUGCCGCCUGGGGAGUACGGUCGCAAGAUUGAAACUUAAAGGAAUUGGCGGGGGAGCACCACAAGGGGUGAAGCUUGCGGUUUAAUUGGAUUCAACGCCGGA
This 912-nucleotide ribosomal RNA is filed under the name uncultured archaeon. RNAcentral's name for it is "bacterial SSU rRNA". It matches the Rfam family "Archaeal small subunit ribosomal RNA", at positions 1 to 922 of the family's 1478-position model. The record is from RNAcentral.